UACGAAGGGGGCUAGCGUUGCUCGGAAUGACUGGGCGUAAAGGGCGCGUAGGCGGACGGCUUUGUCGGGCGUGAAAUUCCAGGGCUUAACCUUGGGGCUGCGUUCGAGACGGGUUGUCUAGAGUUUGGAAGAGGGUCGUGGAAUUCCCAGUGUAGAGGUGAAAUUCGUAGAUAUUGGGAAGAACACCGGUGGCGAAGGCGGCGACCUGGUCCUUGACUGACGCUGGGAGCGCGAAAGCGUGGGGAGCAAACAGG
RNAcentral lists this ribosomal RNA (254 nucleotides) under uncultured bacterium. Its description in RNAcentral is "partial 16S ribosomal RNA". It matches the Rfam family "Bacterial small subunit ribosomal RNA", at positions 524 to 776 of the family's 1533-position model. The record is from RNAcentral.